UACGGGGGGAGCAAGCGUUGUUCGGAUUUACUGGGCGUAAAGGGCGUGUAGGCGGGAAGGAUAGUCAGAUGUGAAAGCCCUGGGCUCAACCCAGGAACUGCAUUUGAAACUCCCUUUCUUGAGUGUCGGAGAGGAAAGCGGAAUUCCUGGUGUAGAGGUGAAAUUCGUAGAUAUCAGGAGGAACACCGGUGGCGAAGGCGGCUUUCUGGACGACAACUGACGCUGAGACGCGAAAGCGUGGGGAGCAAACAGG
RNAcentral lists this ribosomal RNA (253 nucleotides) under uncultured bacterium. RNAcentral's name for it is "partial 16S ribosomal RNA". It matches the Rfam family "Bacterial small subunit ribosomal RNA", at positions 524 to 776 of the family's 1533-position model. The record is from RNAcentral.